CUUCAGACCUACUUGGAGAGGCUGGGGGGAAUCGCAGUCCAGGGGAUUCUGAUACACAAUGAAAUCUGAGGUCCAUUGGUGUAGGGCAUGAAGAAGGCCCCUGUUCUCACUUCAUUCUUCCUGCCCAGGUGGAUGCCCCGUCCCACUGGCAGCCCCAGCAAAGGCUACUUGGGGUCUGCACCUCAAACACAUUUCCUUCAGCCUAAAAGAAAACUUCUAAAGCAUGAGCAGCGAAACUGGAGAGUGGAUCCCUCGUCACAUCUCAGUGCUGAGAUGAUGAGGAAGAGUAGAAAAAGAAGACAAAGCCUUUUUGAACAGAGUGUUGUUCACUUAUGUUCAUCAGAUCCAAUCAAGCUCCCAAUCCUGUCAUGUCAACCCUGGCACCGCCACUCUUAUAUAACAAUGACGAUAAUUUUUGCUUUAUCUUCUUAACGUAAUCCUGGUG
RNAcentral lists this long non-coding RNA (445 nucleotides) under Microcebus murinus (gray mouse lemur). Its description in RNAcentral is "lncRNA (ENSMICG00000048797.1)". The record is from RNAcentral. Lineage: Eukaryota; Metazoa; Chordata; Mammalia; Primates; Cheirogaleidae.